CCUACGGGGGGCAGCAGUGGGGAAUAUUGGACAAUGGGCGAAAGCCUGAUCCAGCCAUGCCGCGUGAGUGAUGAAGGCCCUAGGGUUGUAAAGCUCUUUCAACGGUGAAGAUAAUGACGGUAACCGUAGAAGAAGCCCCGGCUAACUUCGUGCCAGCAGCCGCGGUAAUACGAAGGGGGCUAGCGUUGUUCGGAAUUACUGGGCGUAAAGCGCACGUAGGCGGAUUGUUUAGUUAGGGGUGAAAUCCCAGGGCUCAACCCUGGAACUGCCUCUAAUACUGGCAAUCUAGAGUCCGAGAGAGGUGAGUGGAAUUCCGAGUGUAGAGGUGAAAUUCGUAGAUAUUCGGAGGAACACCAGUGGCGAAGGCGGCUCACUGGCUCGGUACUGACGCUGAGGUGCGAAAGCGUGGGGAGCAAACAGGAUUAGAUACCCUAGUAGU
Molecule: ribosomal RNA, 439 nt
Filed under: uncultured Mesorhizobium sp.
Lineage: Bacteria; Pseudomonadati; Pseudomonadota; Alphaproteobacteria; Hyphomicrobiales; Phyllobacteriaceae
Description: bacterial SSU rRNA
Rfam family: Bacterial small subunit ribosomal RNA
Source: RNAcentral